Molecule: ribosomal RNA, 258 nt
Filed under: Triticum aestivum (bread wheat)
Lineage: Eukaryota; Viridiplantae; Streptophyta; Magnoliopsida; Poales; Poaceae
Description: partial small subunit ribosomal RNA
Source: RNAcentral
AUGCGCUGCUUAUGCACUGACACAAAAAAGUCCUCAGGAGGAGGUUUUACACUGAAAUUUGAUGUUCAGAAGAAAAAACAUGCACAUAGAAAAGAGCGAACGACGGAACAAUCAGCAUGGGCACUGUCCCGAUUUUAUCCGGUUCUGGAGUGUGGGUAUUACGCCGAAGCCUUGGACCCCUGCGGUGCGGCUCCAGCCAGGGAGGGGUUGUCGCACAGCAUAGGCAAGGGAAGAAUUAUCAGAUGGGAGAUAAUUUGA